Molecule: ribosomal RNA, 497 nt
Filed under: uncultured bacterium
Lineage: Bacteria
Description: partial 16S ribosomal RNA
Rfam family: Bacterial small subunit ribosomal RNA
Source: RNAcentral
GAUGAACGCUGGCGGCGUGCCUAAUACAUGCAAGUCGAGCGAACGGACGAGAAGCUUGCUUCUCUGAUGUUAGCGGCGGACGGGUGAGUAACACGUGGAUAACCUACCUAUAAGACUGGGAUAACUUCGGGAAACCGGAGCUAAUACCGGAUGAUAUUUUGAACCGCAUGGUUCAAAAGUGAAAGACGGUCUUUCUGUCACUUAUAGAUGGAUCCGCGCUGCAUUAGCUAGUUGGUAAGGUAACGGCUUACCAAGGCAACGAUGCAUAGCCGACCUGAGAGGGUGAUCGGCCACACUGGAACUGAGACACGGUCCAGACUCCUACGGGGAGCAGCAGUAGGGAAUCUUCCGCAAUGGGCGAAAGCAUGACGGAGCAACGCCGCGUGAGUGAUGAAGGUCUUCGGAUCGUAAAACUCUGUUAUUAGGUAAGAACAUAUGUGUAAGUAACUGUGCACAUAUUGACGGUACCUAAUCAGAAAGCCACGGCUAACUACGUG